Long non-coding RNA from Tachysurus fulvidraco (yellow catfish), 566 nucleotides. RefSeq lists it as uncharacterized. Lineage: Eukaryota; Metazoa; Chordata; Actinopteri; Siluriformes; Bagridae. The transcript has 4 exons. The record is from RefSeq and is a predicted model, not a curated record.
UGUUUCCUUACCUCAUGAGCAUCUCUGCCAAGCUUUUUGCAUCUAGCAAACAAACGAAAAGCAACAAAUAUCAAGCAAUCUUGAUUUUCAUAAACGCACCAUCAGCAGGAUGAAGAGAAAGACCAUGCCCACCAGGAUGGAUGAAAUGGUCACCAUCAUCUUCAUGCUCUCAUUGUUGCUCUUUUUCACUGGGUUCUUUACUGCAGUCUUCACCAGGGGUGGAAUGGUGCCUAGACAGGUUAGCUUACCUUGCACCUGCAGGUUUAGCGUUAUUUCAUCAGUGCCCCAGUUAUUGCUGGCGACACAUGUGUAGUACCCAGAAUCCUCAGCUUUCACGGUUUUGAUGACGAAGCUGCCGUUUCCGUGGAUGCUACGCCUUCCGUCGAGGAUAGCCGGGCCUGGGCUCCCGCUGACGAGACACAAGGGUGGUGGAUCUCCUACAGCUCUGCAUGGCAGGAUAAUGUCUCGCAUCCACGGCGUUGUCACUGUACCACUAAAUGUGAGGAUCCUGGCAGGAGCUGCACAGCACAGACCACACCAAUAUAAUAAACAACUGACUAUUAAAU